GGUAACUUAGUCUUAUAUUCAUUAUCAAUGGAUCACGCACCUACUCAUCAGUAUUUAAUACAUAAGAAGAGUUUAUUUUAUCUCCCCGUCACCCCAACCAAACAAUUUUAAGUUAAACCUCGACUCUCCCUAAAUCUAUUUAUUACCUGUUCAAUUGUCAAACUCUAUAGGGUCUUCUCGUCCUCUAAUCCUAUUUUAGCCUUUUAACUAAAAAGUUAAGUUUUAACCCAAUCCUUACGAGACAGUCAACACCUCGUCCAACCAUUCAUGCCAGCCUCUAAUUAAGAGACUAAUGAUUAUGCUACCUUUGCACGGUCAAAAUACCGCGGCCCUUCAAUUUUUCAGUGGGCAGGCUAGACCUCUUAUAUUUUCAAGAAGCG
Molecule: ribosomal RNA, 380 nt
Filed under: Dipteromimus tipuliformis
Lineage: Eukaryota; Metazoa; Arthropoda; Insecta; Ephemeroptera; Dipteromimidae
Description: partial 16S rRNA
Source: RNAcentral